Molecule: long non-coding RNA, 4717 nt
Organism: Zeugodacus cucurbitae (melon fly)
Lineage: Eukaryota; Metazoa; Arthropoda; Insecta; Diptera; Tephritidae
Exons: 2
Source: RefSeq, a predicted model, not a curated record
AUCGAACGGCUCGGAGAGGUCCUUCCCGAUCCUGACGGAGCUUUUGGUGUUGCUCAACGUCAGCUUACAUAGCCGUAUUAGUUUUGCAGGGAUACCAAAUUCAGACAUCGCGGCAUAAAGGCAGCUCCUUUUCGUGCUAUCGAAGGCAGCUUUAAAAUCGAUAAAAAAUGGUGAGUAUCGAUUCUUCUCUCUCGGGUCUUUUCCAAGAUUUGGCGCAUGGUGAAUAUCUGGUCCAUUGUAGAUUUUCCAGGUCUAAAGCCACACUGAUAAGGUCCAAUCAGUUUGUUGACGGUGGGCUUUAGUCUUUCACACAAUACGCUCGACAAAACCUUAUAUGCGAUAUUGAGGAGACUUAUACCACGGUAGUCGGCGCAAAUUGUGGGGUCUCCCUUCUUAUGGAUUGGGCAGAGCACACUAAGAUUCCAAUCGUCAGGCAUGCUUUCUUCCGACCAUAUUCUACAAAGAAGCUGAUGCAUGCACCUUAUCAGUUCUUCGCCGCCGUAUUUGAAUAGCUCGGCCGGUAAUCCAUCAGGUUCGCCAUCUCCUGGUGUUGUACUUUCACUGCCAUUGAGCAGGUCGGAGAAGUGUUCACUCCAUAAUCCCAGUAUGCUCUGGACAUCCGUUACCAGAUUACCUCCUCGGUCCCUACAUGAAAAUGCUCCGGUCUUGAAACCUUCUGUAGAUCGCCUCAUCUUUUCAUAAAAUUUUCGAGCAUUACCCAUGUCGGCCAGCUUUUCAAGCUUUUCAUACUCACGCAUUUCGGCCUCUUUCUUUUUACGUCUGCAAAUGCGUCUCGCUUCCCUCUUCAGUUCUCGAUAUCUAUCCCACCCCGAACGUGUUGUGGUCGAUCGCAACGUUGCGAGGUAGGCAGUCUGUUUUCUCUCCACUGCGGAACGACAAUUCUCAUCGUACCAACCGUUUACUUUUCAGUAAAUCUAGAGUGGUUCUUCCACUUGUUUACUAGCUCGUCUUUCGUAUAGGGGUAUCAUAUCUUUUAAUUAAUUGUAUGCUUAAAUAUAUUGAACGAACAUAUAUACAUACAUAAUCAAAGACAUAAAUAUAUACCCGCCAGUUCAGCUCACCAAGUUCACUACCUACCGUUAACCACCAAAUAGCACCAAUGUAAUUCACUCAUGAAUUUAACACGGCGAUGUCAUUGGCGGUAAUCAGUUCACACUAGUUCAUUACAUAUCACCAGAUAGUUCAUUACAUAUCAGUAACUAUAUUUCACUAGCUACCUCACUACCUUCCAUUUUGCAAUAUUUCACCACCUACCACCUACCACACUACCUACUACUUUCUAUUUUCACUAGUAAUUUCACCACUUACCUAUUUCAUAAUUUAUGUGCUGAACACAUAGAAGACGACAAGCGACAUCUGUCAAAUAUUAAAAUACAUGCGUUCUUAUGGGCACAGAUUUUUUGACAACAGCACGACUUCGCGACAAAAGGGUUGUAGUCUUCGCUGUCGCUAAAUUAGAAAUGUUUCUAAUUUUGCCGACGACAAUGGCCGCUGUAGAGCUGCCACUAUUAUGUGAAAUGUAAAAUUAUUCAAAGUUAUAAUAAAUAUGACGUUAUUUUGCCAGCAGAAACGUAAAAUAGCUUUGAUAUAUCAGUUAUAAUAACAAUCGAUUAUUUAAAACAAAUAAAUCGGCCUAUUUUUAAAUUUUUUGCAGAAAUAAUUUCACUUCAAACCAAAUAUGUAAAUUUUAUUGAAGUGAAAGAUGUUAGUACGGCAACAAUGAAAUUGCUGUUUGAUAUGUCGCUGCCGUCUUCAAAAUGUUCAAUACGCUGGCUUCAAAGCGACAUUUGUGAUCAGCCGUCGCUACGUCGUGUCGUGCCGUCGUCUUUGUGUUCAGCACUUUAAUAAUACCAACUUAAAAACCAACCAGACGAAAAAUAGGAACUGUAUGUAAGAGUAUUUCCAUAUUAAUAAGGACAUUACCCAGCAAGUCAUGGGUACUGAAACUCCAACACAUUCAAAGAAAUUUUAAUAACACCACUACAUACACACAUACGCAACAAAGGGUAAAAUGGGCAUAAACAUUUAACUCAACUCUUCUCUCAUACAGCACCCUGAAUGAUAGAAAGAAACAACCAAAGUUCUCGUGUUUGAACAAAUUUUGUUUUGAGCUAUAUAAUGGCUGCUUGUGAUGUAUUAUUUUGCGUGUUUUAUUUAAUUCAGUGAUCUGCAGCCUAAUUAAAGUUUAAAUUAUUGAAGCACGCAUUUUUAAAUAAGUAAAACGUAAAAUAAAAGUUUUCUAAAGCCAAAAUAUGGAAUUGAAGAGGGUGAUACAGUAAGACUUCAUUGCACUGUCAAUUCGAAGCACGCAAUAGAAGCUACGCCAACAAUGGUCAACAUCAAUAGCGAAAUCAUUGAAUACAUAUUGCAAACCCUUAUAUGGCGCGUUAAAGGUACGCAAACUUAUUGGUGUCACUUAUUGUAGCAGCGGGGAACUUUCGAAGCGAUGGAAUAUGUGCUGCAAACAAAUCCAGAAUUAUGGAUGCAAACGCUGCUAUAUGGAACACAAAUCAUUUACACACCAGAUAUUAAGUUGAAUGUCACUUUUUUACGUGCAAUUAAACCUUUUGGUCAACACAAGCACGAGAAUUGGAACGACAUGAUUUAGGUGCUUUUGAAACCGUUUAUUAUCACGACGUGUGUCAACUGGGUUUUGCCAAUGAGCUAGAGGGCAAAGCAGUUUCAGUAAUUUUGGGAUUACCGGCAGUUGGCCGUGCCAUUAGCAGCUAAAACACAGAAAUUAAAGGUUAAAUUUAAGUGAAUGUUUAUGCUCAUAAAAAUUUAAAAACUUUUUGUAUGUUUAAUUAGGAGGACUUUUUUCAUUCAUUUUCACCUUGUAUUGAGGAAUCAUAACGUUGUUGUAUCGCUUUAAAAGUACAUGGAUUCGCCGAAAUUAGUUCAAUGAAAAUAAUACAGCAAGAGCAGGGAUGUUAAGACUAGAACGUUGCCCGUGCUAGAAUUCCUGAAGUAUAAGGUAUAUAAUUUACUUUAUAUAUUAUAGAAACCCUCCUCACAGAAAUUGGAUGAAUCUAGUACUAGUGAAAUAAAUGAAAGAACAGAUCCUACAAAAAUUCCUAAAGAAACCAAAAAAACGCCUCACAUAAUGUGCGCAGCUUACACUUCCGUCACACAUGGUAGCCUUCGUCCGAUAGCAAAAAUUGUUCAACUAUUCAAUCUAAUAUAUAAAAUUCUCGUGUCACGGUGUACGUUAUUGAACUCCUCUGAAACCGCUCGACCGAUUUUCCUGAAUCUUAGCGUGCAUAUCGGCUAGGGUGGAGAAUCGGACAACAUCUAUUUUUCAUCCUCCUAAAUGUUAAGGGUGGUCCACUCUUAAAUUUGUUUAACUUUCCGUGAAGAAAAUUAAAAAUUUUCUAAAAUCGGGAAAAUUAGUCUUGAAGUAUUCGUGGAAUGCCAGAAAAAGAUUAUAAAGUGAGUAAAUAUGGAAAAAUUGCGAGGAAGAUAUCAAUAAGAGAAUUUUAUUCGAGUUGACAAGAAAAAAAUAAAAAGAGAAAACAAAAAAAUAAUAUUUUGAAGGUCAUUGUUGCUUUCUUAAAAUAUUUUUGUUAUUGUUCAAUUGUAUAAGGUUGUGUCGAUAGCCCAAAACAAUUUGUAAAAAAUAAGGAAAGGCUAAGUUCACGUCCAACCGAACUUUUUACACUCUCGCAAUUUGUUGAUGUAAUUUUAUUAAGAUAACACACAAUAUGACCUAUAUUUUCGGCAUAAAGUCCCAUAGAAAAUCAUAACAUGUGAUUCCAGAACCAAUUUCACUCAUUUUCACCACCAAGGUUAACGGGAAUAGGGGUAACUUGGCAACUGUUAGUAGGCAAACAAACGGCACCUUCGGCCUUGAAAUUACUCCUAAAUUGCAAAUGAACGAAACACCAGUCGGCCAAAUCACCAAAAAUAGUGCUAUAACGAAGAUUUUCCAAAUAUUCAAGAAGUCGCUGGAGGUACUGCACAGGACUUUAAAAGAUCUUGAUUGUCGAUGAACGUUUUUGAUGGAGCCAGGAUUCUGUUAACAGGUGAUUUACGCCAGACUUUUCCAAUUAUUCCUGGAUCAACUGCGACUGACGGGCUAAUCGCAUGCCUAAGGUCAUUUAUUUUUGGCGACACAUAAAGUAUCGCCAAUUAACAACAAACAUAUGAGUGUUUUUGCAACAAUAUCAAUUGCGAUUGUAGAAGCAGUUGGAAAUGGUAAGGUCGCAGUUGACACCUCGAUGGAUUAAUAGCAUUUCCAACAGAUUUCUGUCACUUCAUUGACUUGAAAGAGAAGUUUUCCUGACAUGAAACCAAUAUAUGAUAAAAAAACAAAGAUAUCGAUGAUCUUAAUGCGACAAUUUAGAAUUUCGGUCCAGGAGAGUUGACACAGCUACAAUGCUACCAGGAUGACGUAGUCAAUUAUCCCAAACUAUUUAAAAUUGUCUGUGCUUUCACCACUCACUUUGCAAUUAAAAGUAGUGUGAGUUGUCAUCAUGCUGCGUAACAUAAAUCGACCUCGAGUAAUCAAUAUCGUCGCCGAAGCCAAGAUUGGACCAACUUAAUUUCAUAUAUACCUUAGCCACAACAAUAUGUGGCCGGGUCUGCUAGUACUAUAUUCAUAUGUUCAUAGUGUAGUACGAUAAUACAUGUAUAAAGGAAAUAUAAUAAUAAACACCUAAAUGUCAUGAUAUUUUCAAUAAAUAUGAUAUAUAAUUAA